UACGAAGGGGGCUAGCGUUGCUCGGAAUCACUGGGCGUAAAGGGUGCGUAGGCGGGUUUUUAAGUCAGAGGUGAAAUCCUGGAGCUCAACUCCAGAACUGCCUUUGAUACUGAGAAUCUUGAGUACGGGAGAGGUGAGUGGAACUGCGAGUGUAGAAGUGAAAUUCGUAGAUAUUCGCAAGAACACCAGUGGCGAAGGCGGCUCACUGGCCCGUUACUGACGCUGAGGCACGAAAGCGUGGGGAGCAAACAGG
This 253-nucleotide ribosomal RNA is filed under the name uncultured bacterium. Its description in RNAcentral is "partial 16S ribosomal RNA". It matches the Rfam family "Bacterial small subunit ribosomal RNA", at positions 524 to 776 of the family's 1533-position model. The record is from RNAcentral.